Molecule: long non-coding RNA, 579 nt
Filed under: Anas platyrhynchos platyrhynchos (common mallard)
Lineage: Eukaryota; Metazoa; Chordata; Aves; Anseriformes; Anatidae
Description: lncRNA (ENSAPLG00000022726.1)
Source: RNAcentral
CCUCAUAAGGUGGCCUGUAGUAAACACCCACAACAGUAUCAGCCAUGGUAGCCUGCCCUUUAAUCCUUACCCAUAAGCUCUCAACUUGCUCUUUCUCCACUAUUCUCGAUCCAUUCUAGUUCUCUCACAUAAAGUGCAACUUCACCACCUCACCUUCCUGGACUGCCUUUCCUAAAAAGCACGUAGCCCUCCAUGACAGCAUUCCAGUCAUGUGCGCUAUUGCACCAUGUUCCUGUAGUUGCUAUGAGAUCGCAGCCUUGUGACCUCACAUAGAUCUCCAGGCUGUCCUGUUUAUUCCCCAUGCUAUGUGUAUUGAUAUAUAAACAUUUCAGGGACGUGACCAAGCCGACAGGUUUCUCAUGAGGGGUGCAAGUUGAUUUUUUACUCAUGUCCUGCACUCACUUCCCUGGCUGCAGGCACCCAUUUGAGGCAUCCUGACUCCCAUUAAACUCCUGAAGAACCAGAAACGACAAUAUGCUUUCUUACUAUGGUCAUAAAACUAAAGGUAUCCCCAGUAGAAAAAAGGAAGUUCAGAUAACACAGCAAGAGCUGAUAAAGUUAUCUAACAGACUACUUUAA